AAUCUUCCGCAAUGCGCGAAAGCGUGACGGAGCAAUGCCGCGUGCAGGAUGAAGCCCUUCGGGGUGUAAACUGCUGUCAGGGAUUAGAAACACAAUGAUCAAUCCCAAAGGAAGAGACGACUACCUCUGUGCCAGCAGUCGCGGUAAUACAGAGGUCUCGAGCGUUAGUCGGAAUCACUGGGCUUAAAGCGUACGUAGGCGGAUAUGCAGGCGUCGUGUGAAAUCCCCGGGCUCAACCCGGGAACUGCACGGCGAACCGCAUGUCUUGAGAUCGGUAGGGGCGGUCGGAACGAUAGGUGGAGUGGUGAAAUGCGUUGAUAUCUAUCGGAACGCCGAAGGUGAAGACAGGCCGCUGGGCCGACUCUGACGCUGAGGUACGAAAGCGUGGGUAGCGAAC
RNAcentral lists this ribosomal RNA (397 nucleotides) under uncultured bacterium. RNAcentral describes it as "bacterial SSU rRNA". It matches the Rfam family "Bacterial small subunit ribosomal RNA", at positions 360 to 773 of the family's 1533-position model. The record is from RNAcentral.